Molecule: long non-coding RNA, 1671 nt
Organism: Cyprinus carpio carpio
Lineage: Eukaryota; Metazoa; Chordata; Actinopteri; Cypriniformes; Cyprinidae
Source: Ensembl
CUAAAUUCUAAAUCAAAAUACAUAUCUGAUAUGACUUAAUAUAUAAUUAGCAUAAAACAAACAAUAUAAUUCACAUUCUCAAGGAUUAAAGAUUAAAUGGAAAAAAAAUAAAAAUGAUUGCACAGCCAUCAGUUAGGUGGCGAUAUGUACUAAGCAUGUAAACAACUAAUGAACAAAAGAAGAAGAAAGAAACAGCUUGGCGCGCUUUUUCUUUGCUUCCGUUUCUUUAGUGACUCAUCCGAUUCAUCGCUCUGUUGAGAAUGUCUCGUUUAGUUCACGGGACAUUAUUGUUUGCUGGUACUGGAAUCUGCCUGUUUGACCACUCUCUAUAAUAAAGCCUGCAUUUGGAUCCUCAACUCUAUUGUCACGAUCCCUCCAUCGUAACAGAAUAAUCAGCCGAACAAGGAUCCAGCGGCUUUCCUGAACGACACUGGGCAGGUGUUGCGGAGGUGGAACGCGACACUGCACUCACUCAUGGUAUGGCCGCCAGCCCAGCGCCUCUGCACAAGAUGGCCGCCAGCCCAGCGCCUCUGCACAAGAUGGCCACCAAUGCGGCGUUGCUGCACGAAAUGGCAGCCACCGUUGAGCUGCAAGGUCAAGUCACUACAGAGCUUCAUCAUACCACAACUGAUCUGCCUGAGCCUCGUCACGUCUCAGCUGAUCAUCCAGUGCCUUGCCUCAUCCUGUCUGUUGCACCCAGAUAUUUAAGGUCACCGUAGCCACCAGAUCCAGUCUGUAUCCAGAUCACAUGGUGGAUCAGCACCUAGACAAACUCUUGACAGCCCUGGAUGUCAGCGGAGACCAGGACAACUAUGAGCCCCAGAGACAGAUCCUCUUCACCAAGACAGCCAUCGGGACAAGACCACAGGAACCAGACCAGUCCUCUGCACAAUCUGAUCUGUGUUGAAGCCUGCAAUUAAACUGCUGGGUUCGUCUGUUCAGAGAAGAACGAUGGAGUUUUGGUUCCUUCGACACACAAUUUUUCUGUUUAAUACUGUAAAGCUGUAGUGUAAAUACAGUGACUGGACUUGACUCCAGUUGAAAUGUAACACCUGGUUCAUUUAUUUUUUUCUGCCUUCUGCCUCAUUUUAAAGAUGUAAUUGUGAACAGUAUUAAUAUUUUUUUAAAUAUUUGUUUGCAAACAUUUUUUUAAAGUGUAUUAGUCUUUUUUUAAGUUAAUUAAACAAAUGUUUAAAAUAAAAUUUUUCAGUUGUAUUGCAAAUGUAAUGUUUGACAACUGGAGCACUUUUUAAAGGCUAGUUGACCAGAAAAUUGAAAGUUGCUGUUAUUUUAUUGAUCCUCAGGCCAUCCCAGAUGUCAGUGACUUUUUUUCUUCAGUAGAACAGUAAAGAUUUUUAUCUGAAACAGUGAUCCUUGGUGAUUCAUACAGUGCAUGUCUGUGGCUGCCGGUUUUUGAUGGUUUAGCUUCAUAAGGCCUCACUGUGUCCUCAGAAGUCUUUGGUAAUUUGGUCUUGUCUGUAUAUGUUUGUUUGACUCUCAAAAGCCGGCAGCCGGAGACGUGCAGUUAAUGAAUUGCAAUGUUUUCAAAGACAAUGUUUUCACCUAAAAAUUUCCUUUACUGUUCAAUUGAAGAAAAAUGUUAACUACGUCUUGGAUGGCUUGAGGCUGAGUCAAUUAACAGCAAUUUUUAAUUUUGGGGUGAACUAUCCC